This 400-nucleotide unclassified non-coding RNA is filed under the name uncultured fungus. RNAcentral describes it as "sequence contains ITS1". The stretch from base 1 to 105 matches the Rfam family "5.8S ribosomal RNA", at positions 50 to 154 of the family's 154-position model. Lineage: Eukaryota; Fungi. The record is from RNAcentral.
GAAAUGCGAUACGUAAUGUGAAUUGCAGAAUUCAGUGAAUCAUCGAAUCUUUGAACGCAUAUUGCGCUCUCUGGUAUUCCGGAGAGCAUGCUUGUUUGAGUAUCAGUAAACACCCUCAAGUCUUUCUUUUUUUUUAAAAAAAGGAUGAAUUGGAUUUGAGUGAUCCUAACGUGUAUAUAUUAUUAUAUAUAUGGCAGGUCACUUGAAAUACAGGUGCAGCUGAACUUUCUUCUGAGCUAUAAGCAUAUUUAUUUAGUCCUGCUUUGCGGCUGGAUUAUUACUUUUGCUGCAGCUAACAUAAAGGUUGAUUGUUCAAAUGCUGACUGAUUCAGGAAAUUUAUCAGUAAAGCUGAAAGGCAAAACUGUAAAUCUCGAUCUCAAAUCAAGUAAGACUACCCGC